Molecule: ribosomal RNA, 486 nt
Filed under: Triticum aestivum (bread wheat)
Lineage: Eukaryota; Viridiplantae; Streptophyta; Magnoliopsida; Poales; Poaceae
Description: partial small subunit ribosomal RNA
Source: RNAcentral
AUGCCACGUGCUGAUGGUCCCUUUAAGGUGUUAGAGAAAAUAAAUGAUAAUGCAUAUAAACUUGAGCUGCCUGUAGAUUUUGGGGUUAGUCCCACUUUUAACAUUGCAGAUUUGAAGCCUUAUUUGGGUGAGGAAGAUGAGCUUUCAUUGAGGACGACUUCAUUGCAAGAAGGGGAGGAUGAUGAGGACAUCAAUACCAUUGUUACACCCACAGCCCCUGCUGUUAUACAUACUGGACCAAUUACUAGAGCUCGCGCAUGCCAAUUGAAUUGUCAGGUACUUUCAUUUCUUGGUAACGAUUCUAAUGUUCAUGAGAACAUGAUGCUGCCUAAAUUGGAUACAUUUGUUUUGCUCACAAAUGAAGGGCCUAGCUUGGGAAAGAAAGAUGAACCUUGGAGCAAGUUCAAGCAUGGAGAUGAUGGCAUGUGCAAGGGGAACAAGAACGGAGUUACAAGUGAUGAUUUCAGGACUUUGAAGCCACCAUAA